UAAGGAAUAUCGGUCAAUGGACGCAAGUCUGAACCAGCCAUGCCGCGUGGAGGAUGAAGGCCCUCUGGGUUGUAAACUUCUUUUAUGGGGGACGAAAUCACUUAUUCUUAAGUGUCUGACGGUACCCCAGGAAUAAGCACCGGCUAACUCCGUGCCAGCAGCCGCGGUAAUACGGAGGGUGCAAGCGUUAUCCGGAUUCACUGGGUUUAAAGGGUGCGUAGGAGGGCAGGUAAGUCAGUGGUGAAAUCCUAGGGCUUAACCCUAGAACUGCCGUUGAUACUCUCUGCCUUGAAUACCGUGGAGGUGAGCGGAAUAUGUCAUGUAGCGGUGAAAUGCUUAGAUAUGACAUAGAACACCGAUUGCGAAGGCAGCUCACUACACGAACAUUGACUCUGAGGCACGAAAGCGUGGGGAUCAAACAG
This 422-nucleotide ribosomal RNA is filed under the name uncultured bacterium. RNAcentral's name for it is "bacterial SSU rRNA". It matches the Rfam family "Bacterial small subunit ribosomal RNA", at positions 355 to 775 of the family's 1533-position model. The record is from RNAcentral.